RNAcentral lists this ribosomal RNA (253 nucleotides) under uncultured bacterium. Its description in RNAcentral is "partial 16S ribosomal RNA". It matches the Rfam family "Bacterial small subunit ribosomal RNA", at positions 524 to 776 of the family's 1533-position model. The record is from RNAcentral.
UACGGGGGGGGCAAGCGUUGUUCGGAAUUACUGGGCGUAAAGGGCUCGUAGGCGGCCAACUAAGUCAGACGUGAAAUCCCUCGGCUUAACCGGGGAACUGCAUCUGAUACUGGAUGGCUUGAGUUCGGGAGAGGGAUGCGGAAUUCCAGGUGUAGCGGUGAAAUGCGUAGAUAUCUGGAGGAACACCGGUGGCGAAGGCGGCAUCCUGGACCAAUUCUGACGCUGAGGAGCGAAAGCCAGGGGAGCAAACGGG